GACGAACGCUGGCGGCGCGCUUAACACAUGCCAGUCGAACGGAGGUCUUCGGGCCUCAGUGGCGAACGGGUGCGUAACACGUGAGCAACCUGCCUGGUCGUGGGGGAUAACCAGUGGAAACGCUGGCUAAUACCGCAUGAGCUCAUCUUGCCGAUUGGUGGGAUGAGGAAAGCUCCUGCAAGGGAGUGCGACCAGAGGGGCUCGCGGCGUAUCAGCUAGUUGGAGGGGUAACGGCCCACCAAGGCGAUGACGCGUAGCCGAUCUGAGAGGAUGAUCGGCCACAUUGGGACUGAGAUACGGCCCAGACUCCUACGGGAGGCAGCAGUGGGGAAUCUUGCGCAAUGGGCGAAAGCCUGACGCAGCGACGCCGCGUGCGGGAGGAAGCUUUUCGGAGUGUAAACCGCUGUCAGAGGGGAAGAAAUGUCGGGGGAGGAAAUGCCCUUGAUUUGACGGUACCCUCAAAGGAAGCACCGGCUAACUCUGUG
This 485-nucleotide ribosomal RNA is filed under the name uncultured bacterium. RNAcentral's name for it is "partial 16S ribosomal RNA". It matches the Rfam family "Bacterial small subunit ribosomal RNA", at positions 28 to 507 of the family's 1533-position model. The record is from RNAcentral.